AUACGGAGGAUGCAAGCGUUAUCCGGAUUUAUUGGGUUUAAAGGGUGCGUAGGCGGAUGAUUAAGCGUGAGGUGAAAUGCCACGGCUCAACAGUGGAACUGCCUCGCGAACUGGUUGUCUUGAAUGCUCCUGCCGUGGGAGGAAUGUGUGGUGUAGCGGUGAAAUGCAUAGAGAUCACACAGAACACCGAUUGCGAAGGCAUCUCACGAAGGGGUGAUUGACGCUGAGGCACGAAAGCGUGGGGAUCAAACAGGAUUAGAUACCCUGGUAGUCCACGCAGUAAACGAUGAUAACUAACCGCUGGGUCGUAGUGAUUCAGUGGCCAAGCGAAAGCGAUAAGUUAUCCACCUGGGGAGUACGACCGCAAGGUUGAAACUCAAAUGAAUUGGCGGGG
RNAcentral lists this ribosomal RNA (394 nucleotides) under uncultured bacterium. RNAcentral describes it as "partial 16S ribosomal RNA". It matches the Rfam family "Bacterial small subunit ribosomal RNA", at positions 523 to 918 of the family's 1533-position model. The record is from RNAcentral.